RNAcentral lists this ribosomal RNA (406 nucleotides) under uncultured bacterium. RNAcentral describes it as "partial 16S ribosomal RNA". It matches the Rfam family "Bacterial small subunit ribosomal RNA", at positions 29 to 526 of the family's 1533-position model. The record is from RNAcentral.
AUUGAACGCUGGCGGCAGGCCUAACACAUGCAAGUCGAGCGAGCGGCGGACGGGUGAGUACUGUCUGGGAAACUGCCCGUUGGAGGGGGAUAACUACAGGAAACGGUAGUUAAUACUGCAUACCAUCAGAUGUGUCCAGACGGGAUUAGCUAGUAGGUGGGGGAACGGCCCACAAAGGCGACGAUCCCUAGCUGGUCUGAGAGGAUGACCAGCCACACUGGAACUGAGACACGGUCCAGACUCCUACGGGAGGCAGCAGUGGGGAAUAUUGCACAAUGGGCGCAAGCCUGAUGCAGCCAGGCCGCGUGUGUGAAGAAGGCCUUCGGGUUGUAAAGCACUUUCAGCGGGGAGGCGUUACCCGCAGAAGAAGCACCGGCUAACUCCGUGCCAGCAGCCGCGGUAAUUC